GAAAAAACUGUGAAGGGACCAAGACAUAUUUGACGUUUUUCAGAGAGCCGCUGUUUGGUGUGAUGCGGCAGCCAAGAAUAUGUGCAUAACUCAUCCCGGAGUUGUCUGCCUGUCACAGGGCAGAACGUGAAGGCUACGUUACAGGCCGGAGCUUUGUCGGAAGCUUGCUAAGGGCUGCAUUUGCAGCUGAAUUUGGGUGGUACCACGAAAGAUAUCGCUUUCGUCCCAUUG
RNAcentral lists this non-coding RNA (231 nucleotides) under Clostridiales bacterium. RNAcentral's name for it is "T-box sequence". It matches the Rfam family "T-box leader". Rfam says of the family: Uncharged tRNA acts as the effector for transcription antitermination of genes in the T-box leader family. T-boxes are found upstream of many aminoacyl-tRNA synthetase genes and some amino acid biosynthetic genes usually in Gram-positive bacteria. Lineage: Bacteria; Bacillati; Bacillota; Clostridia; Eubacteriales. The record is from RNAcentral.